Molecule: long non-coding RNA, 1407 nt
Organism: Chroicocephalus ridibundus (black-headed gull)
Lineage: Eukaryota; Metazoa; Chordata; Aves; Charadriiformes; Laridae
Exons: 2
Source: RefSeq, a predicted model, not a curated record
UUUUUUUUUUGGGGGGGGGGGGCGGGGAGGUGCUCAGAUCACGCUGGGUCCCCUUUGCGCGGGGGAGCGGGAAGCGCGGCCGCCCGCGGUGCCGGUGCGGGUCGGUGGCGGAGCGCUGGUGGCCGCGCAGCCUCCGCGGCCUGCGCCGGAGGAAACGGCCGGCCCCGGCCCCGGCCCUCCUCCGCCCGGUUCGGCUUUAUAUUUAAUAGAUGCCUUUUCAUCUAUAAUUCAGGCGGCGCUGGCUCCAGCCCUGUCUCGGCUCCCAUUUACGCCUGCACACCUUUCUCCUUCCCCCUUCCCGAAGGGUCAGCCGAGAUACUCGCCGAAGGAAGGGAGGGGAGCUGCGCUGCUGGUUUGGGUUUUGUCUGCUUAAAGAUUGAGCUGGAAAACCUUCCUCUUCUGUGGUUUGAUAAAUAAUAAAAGUGAGCGUUUCUCCUUCCCCGUAAAUGACACAGGUAAAUUAUCGAGCUAGCCACAAAGAAGCGUCACAUGCCUGGAAGACGGUGUAAUAAAAUGCCAAUGUAUUACGAUAUGAGUGACCUCAAAAGUGUGACAAGAAGGCGAUUAUAGUGCAUUAUAUAUAGUGCAUUACAUGUAGCGCCUUUUUCAACGUUUUCUGAAGCAUGAAUGAACCUUCAUUUGACUGUGCUUUUAUUGCUAGCUUUUCUCAGCUUGAACUUGCAAGCCGUAUGACACAGUGCCUAUCCAAUUUAGCAUGCCGGGCUACGUGGCCAGGCUGGCUGCUGUUUCUGGUUGAGCGUUUCAAAUACAUAUGCAUACAAAAAACAAAGAUACCAUCAGCAUUUGACUUUUUUCUGUACGCGGUACCCUGUCUACAUAAUUUACACAUUUUCAGUUGAUGGCGUUGGCCCGCUAAAAAUCCAAGCUCCUACCUGGAAGAUUUUAUGUUUUCAGAUGCAGGCUCUUACCUUUACACUCCCAUAUGCGUGUGUGCAUACGACACGCCGUUAACUAAUGGUGGAAGCUGCUUGUGUCUGUCAGAGGAAGGAUGGCGAGAGCCCCAGCAUUGAAAGUCAAGCGAGUGACAUGAAGGAGCAACCUUACUGCCAAACCACUUAGAAAGACAAUUCUGUGAAUGAAUUAAGUAUGCAGUUCUUUCCGUCUUUUAAAAUACAAAGCAGAACAGCCAUUAAUAAAGAAGAUAAUUAGAACUACGAGCAUUCUGUGUAAUGCCGUCUGCUUUCUGAAAUACGGCAUGUUUAUGUAUGCGUUAAUAAUGCACACAUUUUUCCUGACACUAGUCAUAUCACAGCAGUAUGGCAUCACAGACGCUUUAUAGCCUCAUUCUAGUAACAUCACAGACAUGCAACAUUCUCCUUCUAUGCAACAUUCUCAUUCUAAUCACACCAUAGUCAUUUCAAUGUCACAUUGUAGUCACAUCACAUA